Molecule: long non-coding RNA, 516 nt
Organism: Gossypium raimondii (Peruvian cotton)
Lineage: Eukaryota; Viridiplantae; Streptophyta; Magnoliopsida; Malvales; Malvaceae
Exons: 3
Source: RefSeq, a predicted model, not a curated record
GAAACAGAAUAGCAUGGACGAAACAGAGAAGGAAAGAAGGAAAGAAAGAAAAGAAAGAAAGAAAAGAGAAAAUUGAGGUUUUGAGGUUCUAAGCUCAUUUGCUACUGUCGUGCAAGAGUUAUUGUCCGAGAAAGGAAAGGAGAAGGUGAACAAGGAGUGACUCGAGAGAAAUUUCGGUUAGUAGAAAGCCAGUGUCGCUCCAGCAUCCAAAGUAAUCCCGACUUCAGAGAAACUUUAGUGAUGUACCUUUCUUUUGAUAACGUGGCAUGUACCUAAGUAAUAUAUAUACCUAAGUAAUGUUUAUACCUAAGUGAUGUAUAGGAAUUAGUCAAUUUGAAUGUUUGUAUCUAUGAUUUUGCUAAAGGAAGAUGUGUGAGUAUGUGAUAAUGUUUGGCUUUUAAAAUGGUUAAGUAUGAAUAUGUUUGGUAAUAUGUAUGUUUAGAUGAUAAAUCAUGCAUGGAAAUCAUGAAAGAGUAAAAAUUUGCAAAGAAACAGAUUUCAAGCAGCUACAGUGAU